Lutra lutra (Eurasian river otter) is the source of this 1205-nucleotide long non-coding RNA. RefSeq lists it as uncharacterized. The transcript has 5 exons. The record is from RefSeq and is a predicted model, not a curated record. NCBI's taxonomy places the organism in Eukaryota, Metazoa, Chordata, Mammalia, Carnivora, Mustelidae.
CCAAGCAUGGAGCCCAACACUGGGGCUCCAACUCACAACCCUGAGAUCAAGACCUAUGCUGAGAUCAAGAUUCAGAUACUUAACUGACUAAGCCACCCAGGCACGCCAUGAAUUACUAUUUCUGCUAAAGCCCCAGGAGCUCUCCAGCUUGCUCAUCCCUGCCACUGGGGUUCUGUGCAGACACAGGUAGAGAAAAAAAACAGCAUUGGCAAGGUGAAGGAGCAACACUGAAAGUCACACUCGGACUCAGGUUUAGGCUGCCUUGAACAUGCUGGCCCUGUGGCACCCACUGACCUGUGGAGAGAAAAGCAUCCCAUCCUACGGACCACCACCCACCCAGACAGAGUGCAGAUGGGCUCUGUUGAGCCUUUUGUGAUACCUGCUCUUGGAACCGAGCCACCACACUGUGAGGAAGUCCAAGCCACCCUGUGGAGAGGCGGGUAUGGAGAGAAGCAGCAUACAGUGACUCGAAGCCGGUGAGUGAGUCAUCUUGGAAGUGGCUCUUCCAGCGCCAGCUGACGCCACGUGAGGCAGAGAAUAGGUCCUGAGCAAAAGGUUCCAAGGCCAUUACAGAACAGAGAACCCACAGAACAUCAGACUGCCUUGACUUGGGUAUGCUAUGCUACCUGUGUGUGUGUGUGCGUGUGUGACACGUGUGCAUGUGUGUGGUACAUGCUAAGUAUUCAAAAGUGAUGGCUGUUGUUCCCAUGUGUUAUUGAUGCUGGUGGUGGUGUUACUGGGCUCCUCCAGAAUUGUUCUUCAAACUUCAGGGAAGUCUGGUUAAUUCACUACCUACAAGCCAUCCUUCUGCUUUGUUUCACGGACUCAUCUGCAAAGUGUUUUUUAAUUUAAGCAAGCGGCUUUGACAACCCUCAGGUUGUCACACACAAAUACACACCUUACCUUUCAAACACCCGCUGCUAUUGCACGCCUAUAUCCAGAUGCUACCCCCAUUCAUCCAGUUGCAUCAACAGUCCCUAAAAUCCCACUUCUCCAAGCCCAGCUGCCCCAGAUUCUCUCAGAGUUGACACGAACAUGCACGCUCACACCCUCAGCUCAUCUGACCGCGUGGGUGCCAUCGGCACGGUUCCCCUCCUGCUCCGUGUGCAAAACCUCCUGCCGGGGACAGCCGAUGUGAAGGCUGCUUUCAUGUGGGCAGCAGCCUCUAUAAUUUGCAUUUGAGAUUUUUUAAAAGUAUUGCAAAU